GCGGGGUACAGAACUGCAGGUCCAUUGUAUCCACAGUUUCGGGUUAUGGCUGAAACCAGCCAGAGAUGGUCACAUGUGAACUUUGCAUCAUGGAUGGGGAAAGAAUUAGUCAUAUCAUAACAUUUCUUAUCUCCUGGCUCAGACAUUUGAAUCUCAGUGUCUCAUAAUAUUGAUAUUUGAGAUUAGCAUUAGCAGUGGAGCUGAAAGAAGUCUUGCUCAGAAAAUAAGUUAUUCUCCCUCCCUGCCCUCCCUCUCAUUUUCUUCCAAAUGUCCUCCCACCCACCCAUUUAACUUUGCUGUGGGGGUAGCAGUGGGAGGUAGGUAGCAGUCUCCCUCCCUCUGCCACCUGCCACACUGUCACUGCUACAACUUGAACCAAGCCCAUUACUAGAAAAGAAUGGGCGUGAUAGUACAGCGUGGAUAUGCUUUCAUUCUGCAUUGACAGACGAAUGAGGAGUCCCACUCAUCUGGCCUGUGCAAGAAUGUCUGGCUUACUUUGCAUAGGUUGCAUUGUCAUGCAGAUGUCUGUUUGCAGUUUUGCAUGCAUUGCACACACAAUCCAGUGGAUCUGCUGCCCCAUCUUCAUGGCUUUGCCUGCACGGAGCAGCAAUGAGCUGUGCCCAUGGAGAGCAGAGACUGGCCCUGUGUUUACCUUCUGCGCUGACUGAGUGAGGGUUUGUAAAUGCAGGGCUGGUGCUCCAUGUGUACAAGGUGCAUACUGUAUAUAAUGUGGUCAUUUUAGACUGUGGUUCUCAUGUGAGUUCAUUACCCAUCAAAACAGUCAGCUAGUUGUUUAUUUUGUAUACUUUGCUGUGCAGCAGUGGUUUCAAAUAUAUAUUUUACCUAGAUGUGACACUGAAAACUCUGGGUUUCAACACAAAUUGCUUACUACCCAGUGUGGUACUAGAGGUUAGAGUGCUGGACUAUGACCAGGGAGACCCGAGUUCAAAUCCCCAAUCGGCCACGAUACUUGCUGGGUGACUCUGGGCCAGCCACUUCUCUUUCAGCCUAACCUACUUCACAGGGUUGUUGUGAGGAGAAACUGAACUAUGUACUCUGGGCUCUUUGGAGGAAGAGUGGAAUAUAAAUGUAAACAAAUAAAUACAAAUAAAUACUAGAUAAAGAAAUGGAUAGUUAGAAAGUGUUUAGAAUGUUUCUGCUUGGGCCUUUGCAAUAACCUUCACAUGAAAGGGCUUUCAACAUGAGAGAGCCAACUUUGUUUCCUUUUCCCAGGAGCCCACUGUAUGGUAAACAGACCCACAGGGAAUUAACCACCUGGCUGUGGAGGGCCAAAGUAAGCAUUGAUGCCCACUGUAGAGUAGAGUGGAGUUGUCAUAAAGUUGCAGCACUGGAUCUAGGGUCACCUUCUAGCAGGGCUGGAUCCAGGUUUCAGGGGAGAAACUUGGAUCCCUGAACUGGGGGGCCCUCCUAUCUGGGAGACCACGCUUUAGAUCCAUGGCGGAUGUGAUGGGAUGGGAUGACAGAGCGGCUCUCUGGGCCAAGAGUGUCACUCUGCUACCACUGCAUGAAGGCUAUAGGCAGGCACAGUGGUAGUCUUGGUGAUUGGCACUGAAUGGCCCUUGGCAACUGCCUGAUGAUGCUAGCCGCUGGUUCUGGCCCUCGUCUUCUGGAUAUCCUUGUCAGACUGAACUCAAUACAAAAACCAUCCUGGAAGGCUGCAUGAAUGGAGCAGUCAGUGACAGUGUCCUAGUGUGCAGCUUAGGUUGCCUCGAUCCAGCAGGUUGUGACUGUUGCAAUAUGAACACUUCCUUAAUUUCACUUUCUGUCUGUUGCCUCAGUUCUAUAUCGGUGACUGAAGAGCUGCCGUUGCUGUUGAAUGGCUCUCCCAAGACCCAAGCGCAACUAUGAAUGGGAAAACUCCUCCGCCUUCCUUUCUCCAACCUUUCUUUUCUCCCCGCAGAACUGUAUCAGAACACUGCACUCCCGCUUCACUUGCUAAUGACCUCCGCUGAGCCUAUGACAGCAUCCCUUGGGGGACUCCGGGUGGUGGGGCGGAGGGGGAGGGAAAGGGCCUCAAUCUGGCAGCAAUUAUAGGAGGGAAAGUUAACUCCCCUCCCCAGUUGCUUCAAACAUCAAUGUGUCAAAACAAAGAACUGAAACAUUUCAAACGCCAAAUUCAAAUGUCACCAGCAAUAAGGGCCUACACUUUCAAGCAGCAGCAAAACACGGCUGCGGCCCUUUUAUCCACCACUAGCAUCUUGGCUCAAAUUUGGCUUCCAUUAGGCCUGUGAGGCUUAAAAAAAAGGAAAAGAAAAGGCAAUAAGAGAUUAUUCUGUCAAAUGGAAAUCAGGGAGGUGGUUGUCUCCAUUCUGUCUCCUGGUUCCUCUCUGCUCAGUGCUCUGUCCUUUCUCUGAGUAGUAAGAAUUUUCAGAGCCUUCCUAUAGCAUGAGAGGCUAUUUCUAGUUUGGAGAGACAAAAGUAUUGUUGCUUCCUCUAGGGAAAAAGAAAUAACAACACUGAAUGGGCAGCAGCCAACGAUUGCCUGAUUUGGAGACAAGGUGGCAGCAGACAGUUCUCAUUUUUAAACAUAGGGCUGCCAAAUUUUGAUUUCCAAAAUUCUGGUACCUUGCUGGGGUCGCAGGAUUUGCUGCUGCCUAGACUAUGGCUUUGCUGCGGGUAUAGCAGGGUCACUCUUUAUUCAUUUAUUUAUUUAUUUAUUUAUUUAUUUAUUUAUUUAUUUAUUUAUUUAUUUAAAAUAUUUCUGUCAAAUUCCUCCAGGGCAACAUUGCUCGGGGCAGCUCACAAAAGCAGGUACAACCAUUCUUUUCUCACUCUGCAUGCCAGAGGCUGGUGCUGUUCAUCAGCCCUGUACUGGAGAUGGCCUGUGGCUGUCUAUGCUGGGGUGUACAGCGGUGUCUGCCUUACAGAUGGAAACAGGGCUGGGACCUCCGCAAAGGAAAAAGCAGCUGGGGAGGCAGCUGCAGGGGAAACUCAUAAAAUGUGUCCCCCCCCACACCUGCAGCACUUGAAAGUGACGCUUUAUCUACCUCACUCUGACCUCAGGAUGAUGUCAGAUCUUCCAUUGUGAUGCACCUAUUGUUCUUCAGCAUCACACAGAGAGUGAGAGAGACAGAUAUGCUAGGUGGCAGAAGCAGAGUGAGGAAGGGGAAACAGGUCUUGCUGGAGAGGUUUGAUUCCCAUUAGAUGGCAGGAAGGCAAAAGGGAGCUACCCAAGAGGUAUUCCUUAGGCCAGGGUUGGCCUAAGACAUUUGCUACUUCCAAACAGUCUGACAGGUUUGCCCCAGAAUGCCACCGAGAAUGUGACAUUGAUGGUGGCAGGGCCAGAGGUUGGGCAGCUGCUGAGGGCCCUCAGAAGGGCCUGCUCACGUCAUCGAGACCUCCUCUGUGCCCACAACCUUCAAGUGGUGACAGCAGAACAACUCUCUUGGGGACAACCCAGCUGUGCAUGAUGCUUCCAUCCCACACCUGGCAAGAGAAGAUGUUGUCAAGGAAGUGGCUGGUGCAAUUCUGGAACAAGUUGGGAAUCUCAAAAGAGUGCAGAAGACCGCUCCCUAAAAGGUGAAGCAAAUGUUUCAUAAUUUAUAGAAACCAUUUCAAACCCCACCCUAUUCUUGUCAGGCAUGAUAAACAUGGGAGAAUACGUUUUUAAAUCAUGAAUUUGUCAUUGCAGAAUGUCAGACUCUUCCAGAUGAAUGAGGACCAAUUGUCCUGCUAGGCCAUAGGUGCAUACAAACAAUACAAAUGCUAAGUGCAAAGGGACCAUCGCUGGGUACGUAUUUGCAGGAAUGAACUCAAGAACCUUGUGUAUUAUUUUGUCUAGGAGAAGACCACACACUCAAGUCUGAUGUAAGGUAAGGUAAUUAUGUAUUAAAAUAAAAAUUAGGACACAAGACUCAGGGGAAACAAAAAAAUCAGUAUGCCUAGAAGAGAGAGUAUUUGAACCCAAAGUCUCUAAACAGCACAGGGGCCCAAUAUUUUGCUGCUGAAAGGAAAGGUCCUUGGCCCCAUGUCAAGAUUAAGACAACACUUCUGGACCAGGAGAAAAGCCUUUCAGGUGUCUUCUUGUCAGGUAAGAGUGAUGUCACUUUACAGGGCUGGCUUUCUUGAAAGGCAGAGGAAACGUGGUUGCUAUUUUCUCCCCUCCUUUCUUCUCCUCAACUCUCUUCACAGGUUUAAAAGGGAUUUUUUAAAAAUAAGAAAGCAGAGCAGAGCACUAGAUCGUGGAAAGUGCUAUCACUACCCCUCCGACUCAUAAUGCAACCAAAGUAGUUAAGAAAGAAGGAAUAACAUUUUACUUCUGGUCUAAGAUCUACAAAAUGACAACAGUAAAGCCAAAAGCUAGAUUCAGUUUUCCAUAUGAAGGAAGGUACAUUCAAUACACCUCACCUGCUACAGCCAGUACUAGUCAGACAGGUAAGUGAGACACCACUAUUUGCUCUCACUGACGGUUUCCCCCCCAGACUGUAGAAGAGAAACUAGGAUAUAGGUAUACAACUGGAAGAUGCCACGUGAGUAGCAAAGAGAGAGAUAUAAGUGUGCAGCUGAAAUCAUAAACCUGAAUAGGAAUGAGUUGAGCAAUGGGCCACUUCUAAAUACAAGAACACUCAGGUAAGAAUUUCAGCUUCGGCAUUGUUCUCUUUGGACUGCAAAACAUGUUUCUCUGUUGUGAUGACUCCUUGAAUAGGUUGUUGACUUCAGAGGCAAUGAAGUAAGAUCUGAAAGGGGAAAGUCCUGAACUCCUCUCAAGAUCAAGGCCAUGCUUCUGGACUAGGAGGUAGGGCCUUCAGGUGUCUUCUUGUCAGGUGAGAGUGAUGUCUCUUUACAGGACUACUGUAGCUUUUGUGAAAGGCAGAUAAACAGUGGCUGCCAUCUUCUCUACAUAGGGUUGAAAGGAUUGCAAAACGUGUAAAAGGUCUUUGGACUGCAAAGCAUGUUUCUUUGUUGUGAUGACUCUUUCAACAGAUUGUUGCUUUCAGUGGUGGUAGUGGUGGUGGAGUGAGAACUGAAGAGGUCAGUGACUUGGAGUGAUGGGACUCCCAAGCAAAACAUAGGAAAACAAAGGUAUUAGCUCACCGUAGGACAGUAAUGGGAUCUGACCAUAACUAAAACUGCUGCUGCUACAAAGAUGGAGGCAGAAUAUUUAUGAAUAUCAGCAUUCCUCACUAAGAGCCAGAGAAGUAAGCAAAAUGAUCCCACCAUUAUAACUAAUGGCAUUUCUAGAUUGGCUGCUGCCCAUAUUCCCGACUGGGCAGUGGACAUUGAGGUGGACCAUCUGGAAGAUGUGGGAGUCUUCUCAGAAAAUGGACCACCUCAGUGCUUAGCACGGCCAUCCAGCUGUGUGGAGUAUAUAGCUUCUAAAUUUCACCCAUCAGCCCUGUAAACUGGUGCAGACCAGAGUCAGCUGAAGGCUCUUGCCUACUGCAUGCUGUGAGGAUUGGAUGCACUCACUAAACCAGUGCAUCCAUCCCUCUGAAGGAGAGCUGCUGAGAUAUGCUUUUGGAACAAAGAAUGCAAGUCAUGCUGGAAUCAAAUCCCACAACAUUUCAAAACUUGACAAAGCAUUCAAAGUUUUUUUUAAAGUUUUCAAGUUUCCAACAUGGUCAAGGUUUCAUUUCGGAAACUUCAGAUUGGAGGGAUACCUAUUUUAAACACUAGCUCUUGCUGAUGGAUUGUAAGGCCAUGACACCUCCAAAUCCAACAAGCAUUUGUAACUAGAAAUCUUGGGAAAAAUGAAAUUUAGGCUUGCUUUUUUUAAAAAAAAAUCUGUUAUUUUUACUUGAACAAAGACAAUUUGUCUGAAAAAAUCUCCCCAAUUCAUCCCUGUUGUGAAAUGCAAGUGCUUUACAAGGUACAGCCAGAAGCAUUAUGGCGGGUGGAGAUGGGCCAGGGCCGCUGUGGAGCUGUUCUAGACCUGAUGCACAAGAAGCAACUCAGCUGCCUCCACCAAAGAGGAGAUAAUGCUGAACUGAUACCUGACUGAACUGAUAUCUGAGAAUGAUGGGAUUUUCAGGCGGUCAUGGGGAAUGAUCAGUCUGGCCUGAGCGAGCGGCAGUUUCUGGUCUUUGCUGACAUGUCCAGGGUAGCACUGACCGCCGCUUUGGGGUCGGGAAGGAAUUUUCCUCCAGGGCAGAUUGGCCAAGAUCCUGGAGGUUUUUCGCCUUCCUCUGGACAUCCAGCAGGGAUUACAUAUUAGGCUAUUUUAGAAAUGAAUAUAAAUUAAAUAUGAUAAUUUAAUUUUUUUUUUGCAAAAGCUGAACUCAGCAAAUAAAAAUAGAAUAAAAAAAAUUAAAAGAAAAUUAAUAAAAAGCCAUAAACACA
Long non-coding RNA from Hemicordylus capensis (graceful crag lizard), 6300 nucleotides. RefSeq lists it as uncharacterized. The transcript is spliced from 2 exons. The record is from RefSeq and is a predicted model, not a curated record. Lineage: Eukaryota; Metazoa; Chordata; Lepidosauria; Squamata; Cordylidae.